RNAcentral lists this ribosomal RNA (460 nucleotides) under uncultured bacterium. Its description in RNAcentral is "partial 16S ribosomal RNA". It matches the Rfam family "Bacterial small subunit ribosomal RNA", at positions 338 to 795 of the family's 1533-position model. The record is from RNAcentral.
CCUACGGGUGACAGCAGUGAGGAAUAUUGGUCAAUGGGCGCGAGCCUGAUCCAGCCAAGUAGCGUGAAGGAUGACUGCCCUCCGGGUUGUAAACUUCUUUUAUAAAGGAAUAAAGUGAGGCACGUGUGCCUUUUUGUAUGUACUUUAUGCAUAAGGAUCGGCUCACUCCGUGCCAGCAGCCGCGGUAAUACGGAGGGUCCGAGCGUUAUCCGGAUUUAUUGGGUUUAAAGGGAGCGUAGAUGGGUUGUUAAGUCAGUUGUGAAAGUUUGCGGCUCAACCGUAAAAUUGCAAUUGAUACUGGCAGGCUUGAGUACAGUUGAGGGAGGCGGAAUUCGUGGUGUAGCGGUGAAAUGCUUAGAUAUCACGAAGAACUCCGAUUGCGAAGGCAGCUUACUAAACUGCCACUGACAUUGAGGCUCGAAAGUGUGGGUAUCAAACAGGAUUAGAUACCCUGGUAGUC